CUUUCCUGUCCGUAACAAGGAACAAAGCAACAACAAUGGCGACCGUGGAACAGUGUCUGCUAGAACAAAUGGACCUAGAUGACCAGAUGAUACGUUUAAUUAUGCUGGAAAAUCGAUCGAGAAGACGGCGGCGUGGAUGUACUUGUUCAGGGUCGCAGGGUGCUGGAGCCUAUCCAAGAUGACUUUGGGCGAAAAACAGCCAGGCACAUAUAGAGACGGACAACCAUUCACACGGUCACUGAGUGGGAACAACCCACACUGCCUGCACCGAAGUCAGGCAGUACAAGACAGAGAAACAGACAGACAGACAGAUGGCUAAACAGCUUGUCUUACCUCCUCACAGAGGAUAAAGAAUAUAUGAAAUACCAACAUCUUUACGCCUCAGAGGAGGUCUGCCUUUCGAGCCUGUCAACAACGGUGGAUGAAACAACCUCACCAAGAGACCAUGUGACUGGGUUGGUUGAAAACACUAUGCUCAAGAAAUUGGUAACAAGAAGUGAAUUACAACACGUAUGACAAAGGAGUCAUAUACAAACAGAAUUUAUA
Phyllopteryx taeniolatus (common seadragon) is the source of this 546-nucleotide long non-coding RNA. RefSeq lists it as uncharacterized. The transcript is spliced from 4 exons. The record is from RefSeq and is a predicted model, not a curated record. Lineage: Eukaryota; Metazoa; Chordata; Actinopteri; Syngnathiformes; Syngnathidae.